This 380-nucleotide long non-coding RNA is filed under the name Theobroma cacao (cacao). Its description in RNAcentral is "long non-coding RNA (TCAC_LNC002160)". The record is from RNAcentral. Lineage: Eukaryota; Viridiplantae; Streptophyta; Magnoliopsida; Malvales; Malvaceae.
GCUAACCUAACAGCUUCAAAGGCUGCUCUUCGUACCCAAAGGCUAUGAUCUUAUUUUCACAUUGUCACUAAUCACUAUCAGCAUCAUUUGAGGUGCCCUUUCCUGAAACCAAUAUGUCCGAUGAGGAAAGAAUUAUAAUAUUCAAGCAGAAAAUAAUUUACACUGCUUAAUUAAUUAUUCAAAACUAUAAUGAAAAAGGACAGGAAAAUGUUUGUGUUGGAAAGAGCACAGCCCUUGAUAAAUGCAUGCACAGGGUAAUUAGUGUGAUGUCUUCCAGGCAUACCAGUUUGAUGCUCUUUGGUAAUUUCUUGGUUAUAGACAAGGAAGAACAUGGCCCAGUGCUUCAUAAUUCUUGUGGCUACCUCGAAAAACCCUUCUCU